Molecule: non-coding RNA, 130 nt
Filed under: Streptomyces nodosus
Lineage: Bacteria; Bacillati; Actinomycetota; Actinomycetes; Kitasatosporales; Streptomycetaceae
Description: Streptomyces RNA 5676
Rfam family: Streptomyces RNA 5676
About the family: Identified by deep sequencing of transcriptome at the end of exponential growth phase. Appears longer on northern blot than sequencing transcript.
Source: Rfam by way of RNAcentral
GGAUGAGAGAUACACCCCGUCCGCAGGGGACUGCGGGCGAUCCCGGGCCGAGGCCUCCCCAGCUUCGACUCGGUCGUGCCCUCGCGCACACCCCCGGAGCCUUGCGCUCCGGAUAUCCUCACCGAUCGGA